Molecule: non-coding RNA, 178 nt
Filed under: Roseburia sp. CAG:50
Lineage: Bacteria; Bacillati; Bacillota; Clostridia; Lachnospirales; Lachnospiraceae
Also listed under: 1 other name
Source: RNAcentral
AAUACAGGAAUAUGCAGUUGUGAAAUAGAUAUUUUUCUGGAAGUCCGGUUAGAUUCCGGCACGGCUUAUCCCCGCUGUAAUGAGAACGGACACUGUCAGAUCCACUGGAAAACUGGGAAGGGACAGCAAGUAGGUAUGAACUCUGAGUCAGAAUACAGUCAAUUGCAUAUAGAUACUA